UAUCCCAAAAUUUCAAAUGAAAUCUCUUCUUUUUCCCCCCUUCUUUUUCCCAAACCAUUUCUCCCCUACCCCGAUUCCCUUUAUUUUUUCCCCCACAAAUCUCUUCUUUUCUUCCCCUUCUUUUUCCCAAAAUCGGUUUUCCCUCUAUCCCCCUCUAUCCCACCUGAAAUAUCUUCUUCUUUUUUUUCCCAUUUUAUUUUUCCCAAACCAUUUCUCCCCUACCCCGAUUCCCUUUAUUUUCACCCCAAUUUCCUCAAAUCAGCAACCCUCUGUAUUUCCGUUGGAUCGUAUUGUGAUUAGUCUUGUUCUAUGCAAUUGUGUGGGGUUGGUGCCAAACUAGCUUGUUCUGAUAUGUCAAGAAGAAGAUAAAUAUUAAUUAGUUUUGGCAUUUUGUGCGCACACUAAAAAAAAGGGAAAGAAUGAGACAAACAUAUAACUACAAUCACCAGUUUCAUCAAUCUUAAAGAAGUGCAUUUGCCGUGCUUUUCCUUGUUCUCUUGCAAAUUUUUUUUCCCAAAUCUCUUUGCCCCUCUGGGACGUUCCUCUCUCUUUUUGUUCUCCGAAUGGAAUGCUCCGAAACCAAGGCACCUGUCUUUACUUGAGGUCACUUUACAUUGGAAAACUCCGAUUAAACAACAGUUUGAUUCUGGUCUCCCCUGCCAAAUCAAGGAUGGAAACCUUGCAUCGACUCUGUCGAUACCCCAUGACUCACAUUAAAAGAGCAAGAAACAUCGCAGCAACUCAUUGAGAUCGAGCAGUCAGAAUUCAGAAUCAAGUGACACACGAACUAGAUUUGGAGCUUAGACUGUCACUGUAAUCAGUAAAUUUUUUCUGCCACUUUAAAUGCAUGCUCAUGGAACUACAUUUUAUGCUUUCUUAGAAUUGUAAGUUCAAAUAAGGUGUUGAUCUUGCAAUUCAUACAUACAACUUGAGCAAGUUGAUAUGAACUAAUUUGAAUUUAUUUUUUUAAAUUUCAAAGGAAUCUUAUGUAAUCAAAGGCAAUUUGACUUGCUGCAUGAGAUAUAUGAAAAA
This is an RNA transcript of Gossypium arboreum, 1032 nucleotides long. RefSeq lists it as uncharacterized. The transcript is spliced from 4 exons. The record is from RefSeq and is a predicted model, not a curated record. Lineage: Eukaryota; Viridiplantae; Streptophyta; Magnoliopsida; Malvales; Malvaceae.